AUUUACAUACCAAAACUGAAGGAUUAGGAACUUUGUGUAGGAGCAAUCGAAGCAUUGAAAGCUCAGAUUGUGAUUUCCUGCUCAUGGAUGGAGCCCUGAAUUGUACUGGAAUGCCUACAUGAAGGUCCUAACACUGCCUUAAGAGAAAGGAAAACAUUCAACAACACCAAGAGAAUUGCCUAAGAAAAACCCGUAAUAAAAGGACCCUCAGUCUUUCUCAGCGGAGUAUGACAUGCCUAUUGGAUUAAAAAUGCAAACGCUUUGUUUUAUUUUGUUAAAUACUACUUGAAUCAAGGUGUCUAU
RNAcentral lists this long non-coding RNA (303 nucleotides) under Mustela putorius furo (domestic ferret). Its description in RNAcentral is "lncRNA (ENSMPUG00000027444.1)". Lineage: Eukaryota; Metazoa; Chordata; Mammalia; Carnivora; Mustelidae. The record is from RNAcentral.